ACUCAAGUAGUUUAAGUAGAAUAAUAAUUUGUGGAGUUAUUGGUAUCGUUUGUGAUCUUGAGU
Molecule: transfer RNA, 63 nt
Filed under: Paratriatoma lecticularia
Lineage: Eukaryota; Metazoa; Arthropoda; Insecta; Hemiptera; Reduviidae
Description: tRNA-His
Source: RNAcentral